RNAcentral lists this long non-coding RNA (713 nucleotides) under Equus caballus (horse). Its description in RNAcentral is "lncRNA (ENSECAG00000047798.1)". Lineage: Eukaryota; Metazoa; Chordata; Mammalia; Perissodactyla; Equidae. The record is from RNAcentral.
AGGAUAGGAAGUAAAAGCGUAACCAUGCUCUUUAAUACAAAAUGUUUAAAAAGAGAAACCACUUUUAAUAGUUUGCAGGACCUGCUGCUGUAUACCUCCAUCUGGAUUUGAUCAGCCUGGUGGCAGGGAGUGACGUUUCUGGGUGCUAACAGGCUGGAGUCUGGUGGCUGCUGAACGGUCUAGACAGGGCCUGUAUUUCCAGUUCACACAAUCCCCAGGAGACAGUGUCUGCCCUGGCAUUUCCUCCCAGGCUGUGCUCCUCUCUUAUGUUAUCUGCCCGGAGCCUGAAGACUUUGAGUUUGAGGUCACUGACCAUCCUGCCCACUGCCAGCACAUGGACCAAACUUAAUACCCACACCCGCUGAAAUGAGAACAGGCCUCUCCUUGAGGGCCACACCAAGCUCCUCACCCCUGGUCUCCAGCCUCAGAAGCCAGAAGAACAAUGUGGAUGGCUGGACAAUGAUGAUGGUCUUCUGGAAACUCCAGGCCUGGAGCAGGGGCCUCUGCCUGGGCCCCCUGUUCCCCAGCAUCUCUCUCCCUCCCUGUCCCCCACUCCUCUCCCUUCUACCCUCUACCCAUCCCUGCUCCUGUCCCCAUCUGCCCUCUCCCAGCAGAAUCCAGACAGCACACCACAAUUAUCCCCAAAUUGACCCGCCAUCAAAUUCACCUGAAGCUGGGGUCAGACUGCUUUCCCAUUAGUGCCCCCUUUCCAU